GACGAACGCUGGCGGCGUGGAUUAGGCAUGCAAGUCGAACGGUAUCAUCCUUUCGGGGGUGAGAGAGUGGCGAACUGGUGAGUAACACGUAGGUUAUCUACCCUCAAGACGGGGACAACCCAGGGAAACUUGGGCUAAUACCGGAUGUGAGCAACUUUUAGUUGUUUGAAAGGUGGCGUAAGCUGUCGCUUGGGGAUGAGCCUGCGUCCUAUUAGUUAGUUGGUGAGGUAACGGCUCACCUAGGCAAUGAUAGGUAGGCGGCCUUAACGGGUGGUCGCCCACACUGGGAUUGAGAUACGGCCCAGACUCCUACGGGAGGCAGCAGUCGAGAAUAGUCUACAAUGGUCGGAAGACUGAUAGUGCGACGCCGCGUGAACGAUGAAUCCCUUCGGGGUGCAAAGUUCUUUUAUAUGUGAGCAGUGCUUCUUAUAUUAACAGUAUGGGGAGAGAGAUAUUAGCAUAUGAAUAAGCAACGGCUAACUCCGUGCCAGCAGCCGCGGUAA
RNAcentral lists this ribosomal RNA (503 nucleotides) under uncultured bacterium. Its description in RNAcentral is "bacterial SSU rRNA". It matches the Rfam family "Bacterial small subunit ribosomal RNA", at positions 28 to 523 of the family's 1533-position model. The record is from RNAcentral.